This 789-nucleotide ribosomal RNA is filed under the name uncultured bacterium. RNAcentral's name for it is "bacterial SSU rRNA". It matches the Rfam family "Bacterial small subunit ribosomal RNA", at positions 8 to 810 of the family's 1533-position model. The record is from RNAcentral.
AGAGUUUGAUUCUGGCUCAGGACGAACGCUGGCGGCGCGCCUAACACAUGCAAGUCGAACGGAGCUUAGAGAGCUUGCUUUUUAAGCUUAGUGGCGAACGGGUGAGUAACGCGUGAGUAACCUGCCCUAGAGUGGGGGACAACAGUUGGAAACGACUGCUAAUACCGCAUAAGCCCACGGUAUCGCAUGGUACUGAGGGAAAAGGAUUUAUUCGCUUUAGGAUGGACUCGCGUCCAAUUAGCUAGUUGGUGAGGUAACGGCCCACCAAGGCGACGAUUGGUAGCCGGACUGAGAGGUUGAACGGCCACAUUGGGACUGAGACACGGCCCAGACUCCUACGGGAGGCAGCAGUGGGGGAUAUUGCACAAUGGGGGAAACCCUGAUGCAGCGACGCCGCGUGGAGGAAGAAGGUUUUCGGAUUGUAAACUCCUGUCGUUAGGGACGAUAAUGACGGUACCUAACAAGAAAGCACCGGCUAACUACGUGCCAGCAGCCGCGGUAAAACGUAGGGUGCAAGCGUUGUCCGGAAUUACUGGGUGUAAAGGGAGCGCAGGCGGGAAGACAAGUUGGAAGUGAAAACCAUGGGCUCAACCCAUGAAUUGCUUUCAAAACUGUUUUUCUUGAGUAGUGCAGAGGUAGAUGGAAUUCCCGGUGUAGCGGUGGAAUGCGUAGAUAUCGGGAGGAACACCAGUGGCGAAGGCGGUCUACUGGGCACCAACUGACGCUGAGGCUCGAAAGCAUGGGUAGCAAACAGGAUUAGAUACCCUGGUAGUCCAUGCCGUAAACGAC